CUAGACUGGUUCCCUGCUCUGGUUCCCAUACAUUGCUGUGAAUAAGUCCUACGUUUAUUGGUUUUGUUUACAAGCUUCAACAUCAAUAAAAUCUCCAGCACAUUUACAGCCUGUAUUGUAAACUACACUGAAAACAUACUUUACACACAAUUUUCAGCUCAGUAUUAUGUUAUCCUCUUCAUUCAAGUAAUAUGUGAACUCUUCUCGAAUGUGAAACGAACGAUCUACUCUGAACAGUAAUCCAAAUAUGGCACUGUGUAUUCGGUUGAAUCGCCAAUCAUUUCAAAUCAAGUUGAGCGGGUCUGCAUCAUUAUUUUGAUGAAGUUUGAAACCAGUGGUAAUUUUUUGACACUUCAUCUAGAUUUAGGAAGAUUCUUGCCUUGACAACUGCUCGAACUCCCGGGUUGGCAUGCUCUAAAGGUAUAGUGAAUUCAGUAUGCAGAUUGUUGAAAAGGAAACAUCAAGACGGGGCGAGGAAGACAACAAUACAUGAUUACCCACAUUGAGGAUCCCAGUGUUCUUUGUCUCAAGCUACUCAGCCUACCAUGAGAAAAUUAAAAGAUCUGUCAUGAAGAAGAUGCGGGUUUUCAACUUUCAUAUUAUAAAUG
Long non-coding RNA from Saccostrea cuccullata (small rock oyster), 608 nucleotides. RefSeq lists it as uncharacterized. The record is from RefSeq and is a predicted model, not a curated record. The transcript has 4 exons. NCBI's taxonomy places the organism in Eukaryota, Metazoa, Mollusca, Bivalvia, Ostreida, Ostreidae.